UACUAGAGUAGCACUCGCAUAUCAAUAAGCGGAGGAAAAGAAACUAACAAGGAUUCCCCUAGUAACGGCGAGUGAAGCGGGAAGAGCUCAAAUUUGAAAUCUUAAAGGGUUUCCCUUUACGAAUUGUAGUUUAAAGAAGUGUUUUCUGUUGAGGUUUUGGUAAAAGUUCUUUGGAAUAGGACAUCAUAGAGGGUGAGAAUCCCGUAUUUGACCUUUACUUUCAACUUUGUGAUACACUUUCAAAGAGUCGGAUUGUUUGGGAAUGCAGUCCAAAAUGGGUGGUAAAUUUCAUCUAAAGCUAAAUAUUGGCGAGAGACCGAUAGCGAACAAGUACCGUGAGGGAAAGAUGAAAAGAACUUUGAAAAGAGAGUUAAACAGUACGUGAAAUUGUCAAAAGGGAAGCGUUUGACACCAGUGUUGUUUUUCUGAAAAUCAAUUAAAGAACUGUUUAUGCUAAGCUGUUUAGACUUUAUCAGCUAUCUGUUUAGUUUUGAGCUUUUCUUUAAUGCACUUUUCAGUUAACAAGUCAACAUCAAUUUCUUUUGCUGUAAAAAAGCUUGAGGAAGGUGGCUUGUGAUUCGUCUUAAGUGUUUAUAGCCUCUUGCCUAUGCAGUCGGAGAGAUUGAGGUCUGCAGCGUAGAUCCUUCGGGGCUAAAUGCAUUUGUGCCUAAGUUAUAGCAUUUUAUAGACAACUUGUUGACUAUGAUUUGUCUUGUAGCUUACUCGCUUAUGUUAUUUUACCUACGCUUAGGAUGUUGAGCGCAUGUCUCUCUCU
RNAcentral lists this ribosomal RNA (775 nucleotides) under uncultured Neocallimastigales. Its description in RNAcentral is "partial large subunit ribosomal RNA". It matches the Rfam family "Eukaryotic large subunit ribosomal RNA", at positions 20 to 616 of the family's 3401-position model. Lineage: Eukaryota; Fungi; Neocallimastigomycota; Neocallimastigomycetes; Neocallimastigales. The record is from RNAcentral.